RNAcentral lists this ribosomal RNA (228 nucleotides) under uncultured bacterium. RNAcentral's name for it is "partial 16S ribosomal RNA". It matches the Rfam family "Bacterial small subunit ribosomal RNA", at positions 568 to 795 of the family's 1533-position model. The record is from RNAcentral.
CAUGUAGGCGGCAUGACAAGUCUGGUGUGAAAUAUCUCGGCUCAACCGAGAAAACGCACUGGAAACUGUCAAGCUUGAGUAUCGGAGGGGAAGCUAGAAUUCCUGGUGUAGGGGUGAAAUCUGUAGAUAUCAGGAAGAAUACCGGUGGCGAAGGCGAGCUUCUGGCCAGAUACUGACGCUGAGAUGCGAAAGCGUGGGUAGCGAACAGGAUUAGAUACCCUGGUAGUC